RNAcentral lists this ribosomal RNA (27 nucleotides) under Orsonwelles calx. RNAcentral's name for it is "partial 5.8S ribosomal RNA". RNAcentral also lists the same sequence under 1 other name. The record is from RNAcentral. Lineage: Eukaryota; Metazoa; Arthropoda; Arachnida; Araneae; Linyphiidae.
GGGUCGCUMUCGUCUGAUCUGAGGUCG